GGGCCUAUAGCUCAGCUGGUUAGAGCACCUGACUCAUAAUCAGGGGGUCCCUGGUUCAAGCCCAGGUGGGCCCA
RNAcentral lists this transfer RNA (74 nucleotides) under Arachidicoccus ginsenosidivorans. RNAcentral's name for it is "Sphingobacteriaceae bacterium Gsoil 809 tRNA". It matches the Rfam family "tRNA". Rfam says of the family: Transfer RNA (tRNA) molecules are approximately 80 nucleotides in length. Their secondary structure includes four short double-helical elements and three loops (D, anti-codon, and T loops). Further hydrogen bonds mediate the characteristic L-shaped molecular structure. tRNAs have two regions of fundamental functional importance: the anti-codon, which is responsible for specific mRNA codon recognition, and the 3' end, to which the tRNAs corresponding amino acid is attached (by aminoacyl-tRNA synthetases). tRNAs cope with the degeneracy of the genetic code in two manners: having more than one tRNA (with a specific anti-codon) for a particular amino acid; and 'wobble' base-pairing, i.e. permitting non-standard base-pairing at the 3rd anti-codon position. Lineage: Bacteria; Pseudomonadati; Bacteroidota; Chitinophagia; Chitinophagales; Chitinophagaceae. The record is from Rfam by way of RNAcentral. RNAcentral also lists the same sequence under 38 other names.